AGUCUCAACGUGAAUGCAUCUGCAGAGAGCUCUGGGUUGCUCCAAACCAUCUUCCUUCAAGGCCACUGGUUGAAUGUGAAGUGUGGGCAGGAUGAUGCCAAUUGGACCCAUCCAGGAUCCCUACCUCAUUUCAGGCCAGAAGAAAUUAACAUACAGCAUAAAAGAAUAAGAUCAGACUUCAGGAAGAACCACCAGACGGGGCUGGAAAACACAGACAAGAUCACGGAGUUCCUUUGGGAAAGGU
This 244-nucleotide long non-coding RNA is filed under the name Homo sapiens (human). RNAcentral's name for it is "HSALNT0189104". Lineage: Eukaryota; Metazoa; Chordata; Mammalia; Primates; Hominidae. The record is from RNAcentral.